GCCAAGAAGUGCCAGCUACACAGGAGGCUAAGGUGGGAACAUCUCUUGAGUCUAGGCGUUCUGGAAUGUAGUGCACUAUGCUGAUCAGGUGUCUGCACUAAGUUCAGCAUCAACUUGGUGACCUCCCGGGAGUGGGGGGCCACCAGGUUGCCUAAGGAGGGGUGAACCGGCCCAGGUCAGAAAUGGAGCAGGUCAAAACCCCCUUACAUAUAGUCAGGAGUGGAGCCUGACUUGAACCCAAGAUUCAAAUGCUAGUUCUUUUCCCACCUCCU
RNAcentral lists this signal recognition particle RNA (272 nucleotides) under Sciurus vulgaris (Eurasian red squirrel). RNAcentral's name for it is "Metazoan signal recognition particle RNA (ENSSVLG00005012460.1)". It matches the Rfam family "Metazoan signal recognition particle RNA". From Rfam's summary of the family: The signal recognition particle (SRP) is a universally conserved ribonucleoprotein. It is involved in the co-translational targeting of proteins to membranes. Lineage: Eukaryota; Metazoa; Chordata; Mammalia; Rodentia; Sciuridae. The record is from Rfam by way of RNAcentral.